Molecule: ribosomal RNA, 1241 nt
Filed under: metagenome
Description: bacterial LSU rRNA
Rfam family: Bacterial large subunit ribosomal RNA
Source: RNAcentral
UGAAUACGAGAUGCUACGGCGUCGAAGCAGUCUAUGUCAUACUUCCAAGAAAAGCUUGCACUGUCAUAAACAAAUAAUGCCUGUACCAUAACCGACACAGGUGGGUAGGUAGAGUAUACUAAGGGGCGCGAGAUAACUCUCUCUAAGGAACUCGGCAAAAUGACUCCGUAACUUCGGGAGAAGGAGUGCCUUAUUUAUAAGGUUGCAAUAACAAGAUCCAAGCAACUGUUUACCAAAAACACAGGUCUCCGCUAAGUCGUAAGACGAUGUAUGGGGGCUGACGCCUGCCCAGUGCCAGAAGGUUAAAGAAGUUGGUUAGCAUCCGCGAAGCUGAUAACUGAAGCCCUGGUGAACGGCGGCCGUAACUAUAACGGUCCUAAGGUAGCGAAAUUCCUUGUCGGGUAAGUUCCGACCCGCACGAGAGGCGUAAUGAUUUGGAUACUGUCUCGGAGAGGGGCUCGGUGAAAUAGACUUGUCUGUGAAGAUGCGGACUACCUGCACCAGGACAGAAAGACCCUAUGAAGCUUUACUGUAACCUGAAAUUGAAAUUGGACUUUACUUGCGCAGUAUAGGUGGGAGGCGUUGAGAAUAUUCUUGCGGGAUUAUUGGAGCCAUCAGUGAGAUACCACUCUUGUAAUGUUAGAUUUCUAACUUUGUAUCAUUAUCUGGUCAAAGAACAGUUUCAGGCGGGCAGUUUGACUGGGGCGGCCGCCUCCUAAACGGUAACGGAGGCGCACAAAGGUUUCCUCUGAACGGGUAGAAAUCGUAUCUAGAGUGUAAAGGCAUAAGGAAGCUUGACUGUGAGACCUACAAGUCGAGCAGGGACGAAAGUCGGUCUUAGUGAUCUGACGGUGCUGAGUGGAAAGGCCGUCACUCAACGGAUAAAAGUUACUCUAGGAUAACAGGCUGAUCUCCCCCAAGAGUUCACAUCGACGGGGAGGUUUGGCACCUCGAUGUCGGCUCAUCGCAUCCUGGGGCGGUAGUACGUCCCAAGGGUUGGGCUGUUCGCCCAUGAAAGCGGUACGCGAGCUGGGUUCAGAACGUCGUGAGACAGUUCGGUCCAUAUCCGGUGUAGGCGUUAGAAUAUUGAGAGGAGCCUUCUUUAGUACGAGAGGACCGAGAAGGACAUACCUCUGGUGUACCAGUUAUCGUGCCAACGGUAAACGCUGGGUAGCUAUGUGUGGAGUGGAUAACCGCUGAAAGCAUCUAAGUGGGAAGCCCACCUCAAGAUAAGUAUUCUC